This 429-nucleotide ribosomal RNA is filed under the name bacterium. RNAcentral describes it as "partial 16S ribosomal RNA". It matches the Rfam family "Bacterial small subunit ribosomal RNA", at positions 355 to 776 of the family's 1533-position model. The record is from RNAcentral. RNAcentral also lists the same sequence under 1 other name.
UGGGGAAUUUUGGACAAUGGGCGAAAGCCUGAUCCAGCAAUGCCGCGUGUGUGAAGAAGGCCUUCGGGUUGUAAAGCACUUUUGUCCGGAAAGAAAUGGCUCUGGUUAAUACCUGGGGUCGAUGACGGUACCGGAAGAAUAAGGACCGGCUAACUACGUGCCAGCAGCCGCGGUAAUACGUAGGGUCCAAGCGUUAAUCGGAAUUACUGGGCGUAAAGCGUGCGCAGGCGGUUGUGCAAGACCGAUGUGAAAUCCCCGAGCUUAACUUGGGAAUUGCAUUGGUGACUGCACGGCUAGAGUGUGUCAGAGGGGGGUAGAAUUCCACGUGUAGCAGUGAAAUGCGUAGAGAUGUGGAGAAAUACCGAUGGCGAAGGCAGCCCCCUGGGAUAACACUGACGCUCAUGCACGAAAGCGUGGGGAGCAAACAGG